CGAAAAUUGGUGAAAUAAAAAAAUAGUAAAUUACUUUUUAAUAGAUACAAAAAGAUACAGUAGAUUUGUUGGAUUCGUUGGAUCACAGUUAAUAGAGAUCCAGGAUCAAACUUUGUUGUAAGCUCUUUCAUGUAGUAAUCCUAAAUCUACAAUUGAGGAAGUUAUAAAGAUCGAAGAUUCAAUAUGUCAAAAACCAACAAAGGAAUUUUUGUAGUUGGAGGUUUGGUGACAGCCAUUGGUUUAGCUCUUUAUCCUGUGGCUGUUCAUCCCAAGUUGUUCCCACAAAAAUAUCGUGAGUAUAUUUUAAUACUGAGCAGAGCAACUCCAAAACUAAUCCCGGCUAGUGAUAUGUACAGUAGCCUGAGAAUACAGUCAUAGAUUAAGUAAGGACAGAUGUGUAACUUCAGUAAAAAAGUUGUCCCAUGGUCGCCAUCUUCCUAGCACAGAAUAGAUACUGGACCAGAAGUGUCACUCCUAUGUGUUUUGGCUGAAGGAAGACGUCCAAAAUUUUUUUACGUGCUAUGACGCCAUCCUGGAGUGCACACGGCACAUCAGCACUCGUAAAAUUUUGGACAAAAUAUCGUCAGAGUGACACUUCUGGCCCAGUAUAGGGAUGCACCGGAACUCGGUUCCGGCCGGUUAGUUCCGGCCGGAACCCCGAUUUUUUAGAGUUCCGGUUCCAGCCGGAACUAGUAAAAAAAGCAUGGCCGGAACCGGAACUCUGUCGUUUUCAGAGAGAUAGAAUAUCAAACGUUUUUGUGUCUAACAAAAGGUCACAGUAGGAAGAAAUUUGGACUACGCAAGGGAAAUGUACACUAUUAACACUUCAUUAUGACGUUUAACGCUUGUCAAUCUUUUUAUUCUAACAUUUGCGAGCUCUCUCCUUGAUGACUUGAAGUGUCUGCCUGUCUGGCAGCGGACAAAGUAACAUAUGACUAUAUAAUGGCUUAAUAAAUUAGUUCCGGUUCCGGCCGGAACUUUUUUCCAGUUCCGGUCGGAUCCGGUUCCGGCCGAAACUUAAAAAACUGGUUCCGGUGCACCCCUAGCCCAGUAUCUAUUCUGUGUUCCUAGCAAGUGUCGCUCACGUGAUUAUUCGUCAUUUGGUAGUACGUCAUUGCCUUCAACACCUUUUCUACAACUUUAAUUGCAUUCAAAAACUUUAAACGUUCAACAAAUGAUGCUCUUGAUUGUUUAAUCCAUAAAUUUCGUGAGUGACGUCACAAAUCCUUAGAGUGUCCUCCAGAUCCAUAGUGGAAAGUAUGCUUUGGCUGCCGCAGAAGACUGCCGCAGUUGACAAGACCAUGCAUUCUAUCCUGCCGCAAUGCCAAUAAUAUGCUGCCGCAGGUAAAAAUUCAAACGACUACACGCAAUACUGCUGACCACUAAACAGUAAACAUUGAAGCCAUCACUCUUAAAAAAAAGAUGUGCUAUUAACUCAACACAGCUUUUUUGUCAAAUAAUUAAUACAUCUUAUGAUGUGUUGAUACAACACACCACUGCCAUGUCACCCAAAUUGUUCCGCAGGUAUUUUCUAAAUUAUUUCUGCUGCAGAAUUCUGCCGUACUAUCAAUUUUACGGUUUUUCUGCUGCAACAUUUUGCCGCAUCAGCAGUUUUUCACCUUUGCCUGCCGCGGGAGAUCUCCCCUUAAAGUGCCCAACUUUCCACUAUGGCUCCAGAUGUUCCCUAACAAUAUCUGUUCGGGUACAACAACCAUCUACAGUGCAAAAAUUAACCAUUUUAAUACAAAAUUAUUUUAAGUUUUAUAAAAUUUGCUUUGUUUACAAAAGUUAUAUUAUGCAUAGAUUGCUAAUUUGUCCUCCAGGUGCAUUGUCACCAGCGCUGUGACGUCAUGUGCAAUGGGUCAUUCCAGAAAAGAUACAUACUCCCCCCACGGAGGAAAUUUCUGCAGUCCGGAGGGGGAGGGGAGAAAAAAUUGUUUCUGAUAAUAGUAAAUGUAUUAGGACAUCCAAAGGGGGUAGGGGGGUUAACUUCCUAUUUUGUUUUCUGGAAUGACCCAAUGGGUCUAUAUAGUCUAGUAGUUUAACCUCAUCAGCUGCUCACCAAUCACCACAAGGGUUGAGGGUAGCGUGUAUUUGCAGGCUAGGUGACUAGAUGAUAUGGGUCAGCGGCUGAGAUCUCACUUAAUAUAAACUUAUAUUGAGUCUUUAUAUGCAUGAUCCCGCCACUAUCCUAUUCCAGGUUGGAAUCUGUCCUUCAAAAUUUUAUGCCGCAAGUUUAUGCCACAUGACAGAUGAAUUGAUGUUACAUUAAAGAUGAGGUCAAAUCUGUUCUGUGCAAUGUGCUAUGCGGGGGCCCUCUGAUGUAAACAAUACCCAAAUUUCGCAUUUUUUUGACAUCUUCUAAAUUGAAACUCUAAUCUAUAUUGAAUUUCAUUUAAAAGCAUAGCAAACCAGAACAACGUUAGAUAUUAACUAAGUGCAUUAUAUUUUAUGAAUAUAGUCUCUUCAAAAUGUAAACAAACUGCACAUCUGCUGAAGAGACUUAGUUGCCUCUUUAAAGGAGAAUAAAAGCUGUAAAAAAUAAAAGUUUAUGCAUGUUGGAGUACGUUUCGCGCAAUGGGACCAGUGGCCACAACUGAUAUACUUAUUUUCAAAUAUCAGUGUUUCAAAUUUUCAGUAUUCAAAAGUUCAUUCAGUCUUCAUAUAAAUAUUGCACAAAAAGAUUUAAAAAUAUGUGAAUUCAUUUGAUUACUAGUUCAUUUAAAUUCACACAAUAAAACCAGAACCUCACCCACACCUAACCCCUUCCCUAACCUCUAACUCCUAACCCAAACUGAUCAGGCCACCUGCUCGCAGGUCAAUCCACGGAGCUAGCGAAUACAAGGCAAGACAUGCCUUAACCACUCGGCUACCAAGGGUUUGCUUGAAAACCUGCGUCUUUUGUCUAACGUGAGUGGCUUUGAGGAAGUCAUUAAAAGCAGUUAAAACACCAAAGCAUUCCUAUGCAUUGAGUUGUUAUUCUGUGGUCAAGUCAUACCAUGCAUAUUCUGUUUUUCUGAUUAGCUAAACAAACCCUGAUAUUUCUAAUUUUGCAUACAUUCGGAGCUCGUGUUCAGUGAGGCUGGGAACAUUUCCACUAAAAAACGCAGCAGACUAGCUCCGCAUGACAACAUCCUGUUUUUACACCAUAUAUAAAUCAGCCAAAAUUAAACUUUGACUAUUGACAUGCGAGACUGAAGCUGAUUUAGUGUGUAUUGUAAACAAUAAAACCGCAUUUACAACUUUAUUGUUGGUCGAUCAUCUUGUGAUUUUUCUCUUGCUUUAGUUAAAAUAAUCGGCAGGUCAAAGCAAAUUGCUGAUGUGGUCGUGUGUUUACAA
Molecule: long non-coding RNA, 3339 nt
Filed under: Paramuricea clavata
Lineage: Eukaryota; Metazoa; Cnidaria; Anthozoa; Malacalcyonacea; Plexauridae
Source: RNAcentral